UUCGAAGAAGGUCAAUCAAACGUCAUUAAUUAACAAAACAAGGGAAAUUAACCUUAUUUUUACACCGAUGCUACUAGGUGUGUCCCAAUAUAGAUAUAUUCACAGAUGUUGAAUAAACAUGUGAAAGGUACCUUCUUCACUUUGAGGCGACAGACCAUACCUGCAG
Long non-coding RNA from Papaver somniferum (opium poppy), 166 nucleotides. RefSeq lists it as uncharacterized. The record is from RefSeq and is a predicted model, not a curated record. The transcript is spliced from 3 exons. Lineage: Eukaryota; Viridiplantae; Streptophyta; Magnoliopsida; Ranunculales; Papaveraceae.